This is a non-coding RNA of Heterocephalus glaber (naked mole-rat), 2131 nucleotides long. NCBI's taxonomy places the organism in Eukaryota, Metazoa, Chordata, Mammalia, Rodentia, Bathyergidae. The record is from RefSeq and is a predicted model, not a curated record.
GUGAAGAAUUCACCACAGGAAGUGACAGCUGCUGUCAUCUUAGUUAGGAACGACCCCCAGGGAGCUGCCCCAGCUCUCCUUUCAUUGCUAUGGCAGAUUGAACACCUAAGUGAAGAAUGUGAACACCCUGUGGUUAUUCCUGAUGAACCAGAACUCCAAAUAACAGCUUGUGUAUUUUCUCAGAUGACAAAACACAAGUUAGGAACAGAUGGAGUGCCUGGACUUCCUGCAAGAAGAUGUGCUGGAAGGCUGUGUCCAUGAGUCCCUACCCAUCAUGUGACAGGCACCAAAGCGUUGCUAAGCUCCCUUCAGAACACUUGUUCGAGAUACACUCCCUUGAGAAGAACUGGAAAGAGAGGGACUGAAAACUCAAGAUAGACAUCAGAAGAAAAGGUUGUCACCAACUGGAGGUCUAGGUCACCACUGAGUACACAGGCAACAGGAUGUUCAUACACUCAUCAAAACUGACUGUGUGUCUACUGUGUGCCACUGGACUUGCCAGACAAAACAGACUGGAAGGCCAACUGUAGCCAUGUGGAGAAAGACUUAGUCUGGUGCAAGGCUUCUUGGCUAAAACAGGCUCCAUGACUAAUGAGGACUGUGGCAGGGCAGCAACACCAAGCCUAAGGGGAAAGUACAAAGUCCUCCUCCCAUCCACUCAGUAACCAUUUACCAAGCAGCAGAAUCACAGGAAACAGUCACUGCGUGAAGGCCCAGAUCUAAAGCUGUGCCUCAAAGGAGAAUGGCUGAAGGUCCCUGGAACCCUGCAGGCCGCUGGAGGGUUGGAGAGUGGUUCCAAGAGUCAGACAGAUGAUCUGAGAUCAAGUAAUCAUCUUUUGGUUAUAAUCGACAGUGGAGUCAGAUCAAUGUGUUCAACAGAAUCAGCAGGAAAAUCCAGGAGGAGGGAAACCCUACACAGAGCACCCAAUGUUCCAGUUCCUAGCAUGGAGCUCUCUUCCUCAGGCAGGCUGUGUGUUCCUGGCACCCUCUCCACUCAUUUCUGACAUUCUGGAUGCCCAGCAGGAGUGGAGAUGGUGACACAGGACUCUCAACAGCAACAAGGCUGGGGCUACAGCUUGGCUCGGAUUCUCCCAGCGCUGCCUGUAAAGGCUCGGGCCCCAGCCCAGCACUACCGGGAGGUGUGGAGCCCUGGGAGGUGGACUCGUGAGAGGUCUUCCAGCUCCUGGGUGUGUGCCCUUGAGGGGACAGUGGGACCCCAGCUGUUUUCCCUUUGACUCUUUCCAUCUCUUUCGCAUCCUGGUCCUGCAGUGAACACACUCUCUGCCCAAAAGCAAUGGUGAACAAUCUGAAUAAGCUGAACAAUCAUGCACUAAAGCUGCAAACUGUGAGCCAAACAACCUUUUCUCUUUAUAAAUUGCUUAUCUCAGGUAUUUGUUAGAGUAACAGAAAGCUGACUGCCAGUCAGCACAGCCAGCCAGGACCUAGAGACUGUAACACAGAACCUGAUGGUCCUUGGUCACACAGCUGGGUCCCAACCUGCCCAGCCAGCCUCAGUCAGUAGGAUCUCCAGCCCCACUCCAGCACAGGUAAGCUGCCACUGCCCCUGCCCUUGACUGCCUAGAAGCUGCCCCUCCACUGGUAGAAGGAAAAGAAACACAACUCAGUGUUUUCCAAAGGAUAAGGAGCAAGAUUCUAAAUAGGGUUCUUCUGUGAGCUAUUUUCGGGUCUCAUUACAUGGAAGUCUGAAUAAUCUCUGGCUGCCUGCAGGCGUAGGGGCAAGGCCUGACAACCUGUGCCUGCCAGCCACCAGCUCACUUUCCAUGGGUGCUCUGCAGGAUCUCACUAGAAGUUACACUUGCUGGACAAAUCCUACUUGAGUCUACUGCUGCUGCUCUGAGCAGGCAUCCCUGAAGCUUAGGGGCACAGAGCACCUUAGGGGCAAACAAGUUUAAACCAGCAGAGAAGGCAAUGAACUGGCUGAGGGUGUGGCUCUUCCCUUAUCUGAAGUCACUCCACUCGGGCAGUGAACAACAGCCAGCUCCAACAAAAGGUGCGUGGGGCCAGCACUGGAACAAAAUAUGCUCAGGAAAUGUGUAAAACAAAAAAAGUUUUUAGAUGACUGCUCCAUACAGCUGCAGAACUCUGACUCAGUCAUGAAAUCCUUUCAAAA